CCCAGAAUCCACCCCUGAAAUCCAUCCCAGAAUCCAUUGCUGGGAUCCAUCCCAGGGAUCCUUCCCAGGAAUCCACCCCUGGAACCCACCCCAGAAUCCACCCCAGGAUCCAUUCCAGGGAUCCAUUCCAAAAUCCACCCCAGGAAUCCAUUGCUGGGAUCAAUCCCAGGAAUCCACCCCAGGAUCCACCCCAGGAUCCAUUGCUGGGAUCCAUCCCAGGAAUCCACCCCUGGAACCCAUCCCAGGGAUCAAUCCCAGGAAUCCACCCUAGGAAUCCAUCCCAGAAUCCACCCCAGGAUCCAUCGCUGGGAUCCAUCCCAGGGAUCCAUUCCAGGAAUCCAUCCCAGAACCCAUCCCAAAAUUCACCCCAGGAUCCACCCCAGGAUCCAUCCCAGGAAUUCAUCCCAGGGAUCAAUCCCAGGAAUCCAUCCCAGGGAUCCACCCCAGGAUCCAUCCCAGGAAUCCACCCCAGGAUCCAUUCCAGGAAUCCACCCCAGGAUCCAUUCCAGGGAUCCACCCCAGGAUCCAUCACUGGGAUCCAUUCCAGGGAUCCACCCCAGAAUCCAUCCCAGGAAUCCAUCGCUGGGAUCCACCCCAGGGAUCCACCCCAGGAAUCCACCCCUGGAACCCAUCCCAGGAACCCAUCCCAGGAAUCCACCCCAGGAAUCCACCCCAGGAAUCCAUCCCAGGAAUCCAUCCCAAAAUCCACCCCAGGAUCCAUUCCAGGGAUCCACCCCAGAAUCCAUCCCAGGAAUCCAUCGCUGGGAUCCACCCCAGAAUCCACCCCAGGAUCCACCCCAGGAUCCACCCACACCACCCGCCACGGUUGCUAAAAGAAUAAACAACAAAACCACAAACAAACAAAACCCACAAAAAAAAAAAAACAACAAAAAAAAACAAAACAAAACAAAAAAAAAAAAAUCCAACUCGGCUUUGGUCUUGCUUCUAUAAAUAUAUAGUGUAUACUUGGUGUAGACUUUACAUAUAUAAAAAUUUGUAGUAUUUUCUUGUUUUGAUGUCUGAUCUGUAUCUAUAAUGUACCCUAGUAGUGGAACAUACUUCUGACUGUACAAUUGUACAUUUGUAAACCUCUGUAAUGUAAAUGUGGAGAAGUUUGAAUCGACAUAAAACCCGUUUUUUGGUAAGAAAACAGGAAAAAAAAAAGAAUUUAGCAAAACCUGUGCAUUUCAGUGUAUAUUCACACCUUUUAUGGUCGUAGCAUAUAGUGUUGUAUAUUGUAAAUUGUAAUUUCAACCAGAAGUAAAUUUUUUCUUUUGAAGGAAAUGUUCUCUUUAUACAGCCUAGUUAAUGUUUAAAAACAAAACAAAAAAAAAAAAAAAGGAAGAAAAAUAAACUGCUUGGUUUUAUUUGUCA
RNAcentral lists this long non-coding RNA (1374 nucleotides) under Parus major (Great Tit). Its description in RNAcentral is "lncRNA (ENSPMJG00000007218.1)". The record is from RNAcentral. Lineage: Eukaryota; Metazoa; Chordata; Aves; Passeriformes; Paridae.